This 250-nucleotide ribosomal RNA is filed under the name uncultured bacterium. RNAcentral describes it as "partial 16S ribosomal RNA". It matches the Rfam family "Bacterial small subunit ribosomal RNA", at positions 524 to 773 of the family's 1533-position model. The record is from RNAcentral.
UACGAAGGGUGCUAGCGUUGUUCGGAAUCACUGGGCGUAAAGCGCGCGUAGGCGGCUUUUCAAGUCAGGGGUGAAAUCCUGGAGCUCAACUCCAGAAUUGCCUUUGAAACUGUAAAGCUAGAGUGUCGGAGGGGAUAGCGGAAUUCCUAAUGUAGAGGUGAAAUUCGUAGAUAUUAGGAGGAACACCGGUGGCGAAGGCGGCUAUCUGGACGACAACUGACGCUUAGGCGCGAAAGCGCGGGGAUCAAAC